GUGUCAGCAGCCGCGGUAAGACGAACCGAGCGAACGUUGUUCGGAAUCACUGGGCUUAAAGGGCGCGUAGGCGGGCUGUCAAGUCUGGGGUGAAAUCCCGCGGCUCAACCGUGGAACUGCCUCAGAUACUGACGGCCUCGAGGGAGGUAGGGGCGAGCGGAACGGAUGGUGGAGCGGUGAAAUGCGUUGAUAUCAUCCGGAACUCCGGUGGCGAAAGCGGCUCGCUGGACCUUUUCUGACGCUGAGGCGCGAAAGCUAGGGGAGCAAACGGGAUUAGAUACCCCGGUAGUCCUAGCCCUAAACGAUGGGUACUGGGUAGUAGACUAGACAUGGGUUUACUGCCGCAGCAAAAGUGCUAAGUACCCCGCCUGGGGAGUAUGGUCGCAAGGCUGAA
This 394-nucleotide ribosomal RNA is filed under the name uncultured bacterium. RNAcentral describes it as "bacterial SSU rRNA". It matches the Rfam family "Bacterial small subunit ribosomal RNA", at positions 505 to 898 of the family's 1533-position model. The record is from RNAcentral.